AGAACGAACGCUGGCGGCAGGCUUAACACAUGCAAGUCGAACGCCCCGCAAGGGGAGUGGCAGACGGGUGAGUAACACGUGGGAACGUCCCCCUCGGUUCGGAAUAACUCAGGGAAACUUGAGCUAAUACCGAAUACGUCCGAGAGGAGAAAGAUUUAUCGCCGAGGGAUCGGCCCGCGUCUGAUUAGCUAGUUGGUGAGGUAACGGCUCACCAAGGCGACGAUCAGUAGCUGGUCUGAGAGGAUGGCCAGCCACACUGGGACUGAGACACGGCCCAGACUCCUACGGGAGGCAGCAGUGGGGAAUCUUGGACAAUGGGCGCAAGCCUGAUCCAGCCAUGCCGCGUGAGUGAUGAAGGCCUUAGGGUUGUAAAGCUCUUUCGACGGGGACGAUAAUGACGGUACCGUAGAAGAAGCCCCGGCUAACUUCGUGCCAGCAGCCGC
RNAcentral lists this ribosomal RNA (443 nucleotides) under uncultured bacterium. RNAcentral's name for it is "SSU rRNA". It matches the Rfam family "Bacterial small subunit ribosomal RNA", at positions 26 to 518 of the family's 1533-position model. The record is from RNAcentral.